CUUGCUUAGCUCUGGAGCCCAUGUAGAUGGCGUCCAGUUGACCCGGCGGCCCGGUCCCGCCCCUAAAAUACAUUUUUUUACAAUGUAUGUUUGCUCGUAUUUCACCCCCCAAACACAAUAUAGGACUUUUACCACUCAGCACUUUCUAAAAUUGCACUGCACACACACACACACACAUUGCACCCCUGACACAUCCUGGAUCUACUAUACACAAACUGGAUUCCCUAUAGAUAAACACACUCUACAUUCCCUAAAUACACACUAUCUACAGCCCCUACACACUACAUCACCUGUACACAGAUACACUUCAGCCCCUGUACACACUAUGCCACGUAUACUCACUCCCUACAGUCCCUAGUCAUACAUUACACCACAAACGCAUCACAACUGAAAGUCACCUAUAUACACAAAACACCACACCACAAUCAGCUCACGCUAUACACACAAUCCCACAAGCAGGCUCCAAACACAUGCAAAAUACACUUUCCUGGCACUUUUGUCUCUGGUAUCCCACCAGAAACAAGUCCCAAGCAAAUGCUGCACAAGCUUGUCAUUAAAUUUGCUUGUGGUGCAAAGAACAAAUACAGGGCCUUUGAAUAUGCGAAAGCUCUUCAGCUGGGCUUUGCGCAUGGGCUGCCCUGAAAGAACAUUGAACCUAAAGGUUUGGAUUAAAAGGGAGGGUGUGCUUGUCAUUGUUGCAUUUUGUGGCACAGUCCCCUUCUCACUGGCACACUGUGCUAUAAAAAUGCCUGGGCUGAAUUUUGUUUCCAGUCUGGUCCUGCCUGCAGAUGUUCUGAAAGUGUCACCAACUCCCCUUGUUCCAAACAGUAAAAGAAGCUACAAUGGGUGUUAUUAUUCCUGCCAUUUUGGCAUUUGGGGGUGGAGGUGAAUGGGCUAUUCCAUUCACUGUUUUUCCAUUACAUUAGCAUUGC
Pelobates cultripes (western spadefoot toad) is the source of this 932-nucleotide non-coding RNA. NCBI's taxonomy places the organism in Eukaryota, Metazoa, Chordata, Amphibia, Anura, Pelobatidae. The record is from the annotation of a GenBank genome assembly.